This 95-nucleotide ribosomal RNA is filed under the name Panagrolaimus sp. JB051. RNAcentral's name for it is "partial 28S ribosomal RNA". Lineage: Eukaryota; Metazoa; Nematoda; Chromadorea; Rhabditida; Panagrolaimidae. The record is from RNAcentral.
UUAUGAUCUCAAUCGAGUGUGACUACCCGCUGAACUGAAGCAUAUCAGUAAGCGGAGGUAUAUGAACUAAAACGAUUCCCAUAGUCACCGGCGGA